RNAcentral lists this long non-coding RNA (803 nucleotides) under Solanum tuberosum (potato). RNAcentral describes it as "long non-coding RNA (STUB_LNC004078)". The record is from RNAcentral. Lineage: Eukaryota; Viridiplantae; Streptophyta; Magnoliopsida; Solanales; Solanaceae.
AAGAAUGAAAAUUUAUUUAUACUUAUCAAGGAUGGAUAGUAGUCAUUAAUUUACCGUAAGCCUCAUUAGAAUCAAAUGCUUUGAUGUCCUCUACAUACAAAUGCACCGGAAAAUAGCCAUUACAGAUGUAAUAAGAUGAUAGACAUUAGACACUCGUGACUCAACACUACUUCAUGAAUACUUAUUUAACACAAAUGUCAACAGACUAGCCUAUAAAUAACUUAAUUACAGAAAGACGCAGUACAUUACAGUUCACAAAUCACACAAAUAAUCACAUAGUUGCAUACUUGCAUUCAAUGAUUAAAAAAGGACGCAAUACAUGUCUUUCAUAUUCUUUCCAUGGGUUUUCAUCAGAUUUUGUUGUUAAUGUGUAACUAACAAUUUCUUUUGUUGUUUCACUUCAAGAAUCUCUAACAAUGCUUACAGAUUUUGCUCUUCAACUUCUAGAGUGCUACACUGCUCUGCUACUGCCUACUCGUGUUGUUUUCCACAACUUUAUUAGAUUUCAUUAUUAAUUUACCAUCAAAAUAAAAAAAAUCAGAUGAGAGUUGGGACGCUUCCAGCCGUGAGUCGCGAGCGAGCACUGAGCAUUGGCCAGUGAGAAGCGAUGCGGGCUGCGAGCACUCGGCGAGAGUCAGAGAUUAGAGUUGAGAGACGACGAACUGAGAGAUGAGAGAUGAGAGUUGACUGUUGAACAGACGUGAGGCGAGAGUUGAGAGAUUGGAGUUGAUGUUUGAGUUAGGGAUUUCAGAUUAUCAAUUUAGGGAUUUUCUAUUAGAAUUUGGGCCUAAUUUGAAUAUGGG